This 256-nucleotide unclassified non-coding RNA is filed under the name plant metagenome. Its description in RNAcentral is "partial contains small subunit ribosomal RNA, internal transcribed spacer 1, and 5.8S ribosomal RNA". The stretch from base 1 to 54 matches the Rfam family "Eukaryotic small subunit ribosomal RNA", at positions 1778 to 1831 of the family's 1831-position model. The record is from RNAcentral.
GGAAGUAAAAGUCGUAACAAAGUUUCCGUAGGUGAACCUGCGGAAGGAUCAUUACUGAGUGAGGGCCCUCUGGGUCCAACCUCCCACCCGUGUCUAUUGUACCAUGUUGCUUCGGCAGGCCCGCCUCGCGGCCGCCGGGGGCUUCUGCCCCGGGCCUGCGCCUGCCGAAGACCCUCUGAACGCUGUCUGAAGAUUGCAGUCUGAGUGAAAACACAAAAAUUAUUUAAAACUUUCAACAACGGAUCUCUUGGUUCCG